RNAcentral lists this ribosomal RNA (378 nucleotides) under Triticum aestivum (bread wheat). RNAcentral's name for it is "partial small subunit ribosomal RNA". Lineage: Eukaryota; Viridiplantae; Streptophyta; Magnoliopsida; Poales; Poaceae. The record is from RNAcentral.
AUGGUGCUGGAGACAAGCCCACCGCGGCUGGAGAUGGCUGCUGAGCUGCAUAUGCUCGUUUCCGGCCAAGGAGAUACCGUGCACCUCUUGGACAAUGGUAGGGUGUUGAUGCUGGUUCACCGCAUGCUCUCGGCGACCCUGGAUGAUUUGUGGCCGAGCUAUAACCUGUCACUCUCGGUGCCUAUCAAUGUUUUCCCCUCCGGCUCCAUCACCGGUGACGCCAUCUACUCGAGCUUCGAAUUCCAAGAGAGGUACAAGGUUGAGGCUUACCAUCUGGCAGAUAGAAGCAUCACGCCUGCUUCCAGCUCCAUCCUGGAUGGCUUGUUAACGCAGCCGCAAACUCUUGUGGACUGCCUUAAAUUCAGCUGUAAUCGCUGA